GUUCGGAAAGGAUAAGGGGGAGGUGAUUCUAUGGAUCUAUGUAACGAAGCGCAAUGUGAUGUCAGGUUCGUUUUGCUUACGAGACGCCCUUCCUAUGCCGCUUGGGAUCCGUUGCCUGACUGGUGAUUGAUUUUACUGUGAGGGAAAAUUCUAGAGGCUGGGGGGAAGAGCUAAGGAAUCAUGAGAAACAAGGUUGGGGAGCAGGAGAGGAGACGAGGAAACAAGAGCAGAUUUAUGCACUGGAAAGCACUCAGGUUGGUUCUUGAGAUGAAGACCAGAGACUCAUGUCCCCUACAAGGGAUUCCAGGUUUUAGGAGGAUAUAUACCGUGUAGCAGAUAUGGUCUCUUAUGGAGACAAGAAGAGAUGUGGAACCCCCAUGGGGAAAAGGAAGACAUAUACUGCCUGGGCGUGAAUUACAUACGCAGAAGGUAAAAUUGUGAUGGAAUCCCAGAUUUCCUGUGAUUGAUGAUGAUUCUUUUUUUUUGUUUUGUUUGUGGUAACAAGGAUUCUCUUUCCUUUGCCCUGAUUUAAAUUCACUUGUGACAUAUGAAGAAGGGUUCUGCUCAUGAAUUACAAAGAAUGUUUUAAGCUAGAGCUUGUUGCAGAAACAUUGGAAAAUAAGCUACCAUAUGUAGGGUAAAUGGUAAAUGGACUGCAUUUAUAUAGCGCUUUUAUCCAAAGUGCUUUACAAUUGAUGCCUCUCAUUUGCCAGAGCAGUUAGGGGUUAGGUGUCUUGCUCAAGGACACAUCGACAUGCCCAGGGCGGGGCUCGAACCGGCAACCCUCCGACUACCAGACAAUCGGUCUUACCUCCUGAGCUAUGUCGCCCCAUGGGUGCAAAUGUUAAAAUGAAAAGAGACAUAUAUGGUUAUCAGUUACAUACUGUAAGUAUGUACAGUACUGUAUGCUAUCUUGACUAUGUCACAUUUGAAAUAUAAAGUAAAAAUAAUUUUUUUAUGAAAUAAAAAGUUAACUCUCGUAUAAAAGGUUUUUUAAAGUAUUACAGUAUUAGGUUUUUUGUAUUACAUUGCAUCAAUAUUGCAUUGAUGUCUUGUUCAAAGCAUUCUUUCUAUUCACCCAUUGCAGGGUUUGUUAUGAUGAACCUCUUAACUACUCAUUGUAAACUGUGUUUGUGCUCUGUUCUGUUCACCAUUUCAUGUUGUUUUAUUUUCCUUUUGUGCCAUUAAAUCUGAUUCCUAUUUGUAGUGCCUUCUGUCCUCUAUAUUGCGGUCUUGCACAUAUGAUCGAUGUCGAACACUCAAUGUUUGUAUCAUUCUUCAGAUGUGAUGCUGUUUUAUAGAUGGAAUUUAAGAGUGGAAAGGAACCCUGUGUCUCUUGAAGUCACUGGAGUGUGCAGCAGCGGAUUGUGUCUUCUGUGGUACCUCCAUCAAGUCGAUCAGCUCCACUAUAAAUCCUCAUUCCUCAAUGGCAGUGAUGAAUGCACCAAUAAAUUCAUGUAGCAGCUGUCUAGUUCUUUAGCCCAGGUAAAAUCAUGGUCAUAAAAAAAAAACACCCUGGUCUGUGGUCUGGCAUGUGACUUCAUAGUGUCAUGACUGAGCACUUCGAUGUCCCUGCUGUAAAUCCAACAGAGCACCAGUCGUAAAAAAGAAACCAUUUUUACAUAGCCUAUACAUCAUGUCACACACAAUGAGAAUUCAGGGUGACCAAAUGAAACAGUUGUGUUGGAUCAUGAGAGGAUCAUAUUAAUUUAAUGCUCCAGUGACUUAGGACAAUUU
Long non-coding RNA from Anguilla rostrata (American eel), 1737 nucleotides. RefSeq lists it as uncharacterized. NCBI's taxonomy places the organism in Eukaryota, Metazoa, Chordata, Actinopteri, Anguilliformes, Anguillidae. The record is from RefSeq and is a predicted model, not a curated record. The transcript has 5 exons.